UUCUCAUAUGUAACUUGUUUUAUUUGUCGAGUUCUUAAGAAUCCCUCCUAAUUGUGGAGUGGAGCUGAAUUUUGAUAACACGAGCUAGAACUGUAGGGGUUCAAUUAAUCGUUAUUUUAGACUUGUAGGAGUAAUUUCUACCAAAAGAAGACCUCUAGGAGUAAUGAUUAUUGAGGAAUUUGGAACUUAAUUAUCGGAAUAAUUUUCUUAACGGUGUGUGCUUGAUUGAAAUUUUAUUUGUUUCCACAAUUAAUAUUUGUUUUUUUUGUUUGUUUGCGUAAACCGGAUAUUCUUCGUGUAUAACCACGGUGAAGACUAAUCUCAAAUUUUGUGAAAUCCAAAUGGGAGGAAAUUUGCCCUAAGAGUUUUAACAUUGUUGCAUGUCAACAUUCGGGUUCGAACAAGAGUCCAUUAUUAAGAUAUAAGAGACUCAUACAAUCUCAUUUAAGAGCUCUUGUGCAUCUCCCUCUAUCCCAUAUAAUAA
Molecule: long non-coding RNA, 484 nt
Filed under: Trifolium pratense (red clover)
Lineage: Eukaryota; Viridiplantae; Streptophyta; Magnoliopsida; Fabales; Fabaceae
Description: long non-coding RNA (TPRA_LNC000447)
Source: RNAcentral